This 510-nucleotide ribosomal RNA is filed under the name uncultured Flavobacteriaceae bacterium. RNAcentral's name for it is "bacterial SSU rRNA". It matches the Rfam family "Bacterial small subunit ribosomal RNA", at positions 536 to 1050 of the family's 1533-position model. The record is from RNAcentral. Lineage: Bacteria; Pseudomonadati; Bacteroidota; Flavobacteriia; Flavobacteriales; Flavobacteriaceae.
GAGCGUUAUCCGGAAUCAUUGGGUUUAAAGGGUCCGUAGGCGGGCCUAUAAGUCAGGGGGUGAAAGUUUGUGGCUCAACCAUAAAAUUGCCCUUGAUACUGUAGGUCUUGAGUUAUAGUGAAGUUGCCGGAACAUGUGGUGUAGCGGUGAAAUGCAUAGAUAUCACAUAGAACACCAAUUGCGAAGGCAGGUGACUAACUAUAUACUGACGCUGAUGGACGAAAGCGUGGGGAGCGAACGGGAUUAGAUACCCCGGUAGUCCACGCCGUAAACGAUGGAUACUAGCUGUCGGGACUUCGGUCUCGGCGGCCAAGCGAAAGUGAUAAGUAUCCCACCUGGGGAGUACGUUCGCAAGAAUGAAACUCAAAGGAAUUGACGGGGGCCCGCACAAGCGGUGGAGCAUGUGGUUUAAUUCGAUGAUACGCGAGGAACCUUACCAGGGCUUAAAUGUACAUUGCAUAGCGUAGAGAUAUGCUUUUCUUCGGACUAUGUACAAGGUGCUGCAUGGUU